Non-coding RNA from Sphingopyxis sp. Root1497, 48 nucleotides. The record is from Rfam. NCBI's taxonomy places the organism in Bacteria, Pseudomonadati, Pseudomonadota, Alphaproteobacteria, Sphingomonadales, Sphingopyxidaceae.
ACGGGCAAACGCGGACGCCCGUCCAGGCGCUCGCCGCCCAAGUUCCGC